UACGUAGGGUGCAAGCGUUGUCCGGAAUUAUUGGGCGUAAAGAGCUCGUAGGCGGCUUGUCGCGUCGGCUGUGAAAACCUGGGGCUCAACCCCGGGCCUGCAGCCGAUACGGGCAAGCCGUAAGGAAUUCGGUGAGGGGAGACGUGGAAUUCCUGGUGUAGACGGGUGAAAUGCGCAGAUAUCGAGGAGGAACACCGGUGGCGAAGGCGGGUCUCUGGGCCGAUACUGACGCUGAGGAGCGAAGCGUGGGGAGCGAACAGG
Molecule: ribosomal RNA, 261 nt
Filed under: uncultured bacterium
Lineage: Bacteria
Description: partial 16S ribosomal RNA
Rfam family: Bacterial small subunit ribosomal RNA
Source: RNAcentral